UGCCUGAGGACUCUACUCACCACCAUGCUA
RNAcentral lists this non-coding RNA (30 nucleotides) under Homo sapiens (human). Lineage: Eukaryota; Metazoa; Chordata; Mammalia; Primates; Hominidae. The record is from RNAcentral.